GACAGAGGGUGCAAACGUUGUUCGGAUUUACUGGGCGUAAAGCGCGUGUAGGCGGCUUUGCAAGUCGGAUGUGAAAUCCCACGGCUCAACCGUGGAAGUGCAUCCGAAACUGCAUCGCUUGAGUCUCGGAGAGGAAGGUGGAAUGCUUGGUGUAGAGGUGAAAUUCGUAGAUAUCAAGCAGAACACCUGCGGCGAAAGCGGCCUUCUGGACGAUGACUGACGCUGAGACGCGAAAGCGUGGGGAGCAAACAGG
RNAcentral lists this ribosomal RNA (253 nucleotides) under uncultured bacterium. Its description in RNAcentral is "partial 16S ribosomal RNA". It matches the Rfam family "Bacterial small subunit ribosomal RNA", at positions 524 to 776 of the family's 1533-position model. The record is from RNAcentral.